Molecule: long non-coding RNA, 785 nt
Filed under: Triticum aestivum (bread wheat)
Lineage: Eukaryota; Viridiplantae; Streptophyta; Magnoliopsida; Poales; Poaceae
Description: long non-coding RNA (TAES_LNC021015)
Source: RNAcentral
UCUGAUUUCCUUAAUUGAUCUUUGGUCCUUGAUCCCUAAUGUCGUUAUAUUUUAUUGAUUUUAUAAAUGAUCUCAAACAGGAACAUACCAUUUUUAGGCUACAGUUCCUAUAACUUGCCUUGUCAAUUUGAUAAAAUUACAUGUGUGAUGGAGGUUGUAACUUAUUACAGUUUACAUUGUCAGAAUUCUUCAAACCCUAUGUCGAUCCUCACUAUCUUUGAAACAAUCUGAUUUCUGUGUCAUUGCUAAGCAUAUGUAUAUAUUUGGUGUGCUGGAUUUUCUGAUGUAAGAGGAAGCUAUUCGACAAUCCUGCUCAAGUUGGUAUAGAUUAGAUCGAUUUUAUUCAGUAAAUAUUUAUGCUUGAUAGAUGAAAGCCUCCCUCCUCUGCCCUUCUUUUCUCCAUUCUCUGUAGGUCGCGAGCACAUGUGAAUCGUUGUCGUCAAGAGCAUGCUUGUGACAUCAUUACUAUACGUGAUGCAGCGCAAAAGGAUGUUGUCAGGAGGUACAAACACAUUUAGUCAUUUCCUAUUAUUUUCCUUUCCCGUUUUUGCCGUCAUAUACAAAGUAUCUCCCACUGUAACGCACAUCCAAAUUUGUAUUAUUGAAAGUUUUAAUCAUCCUUGCUGCAGUUAAGUGUUCAACGCAAUCUCUAGCCAAGUUUCCUUUGUUGUUGUGUUGAAUUUUGGGGAAAGGCGGCGAAGCAGCUCGUGGCAUCUGUGUCGCGCCUGCUCCGCCACUGCCUUGACUCGCCGACGACAUCGCCCGUUGGGCUGCAGGGGUGCAAG